GACGAACGCUGGCGGCGUGCUUAACACAUGCAAGUCGAACGGUAAGGCCCUUCGGGGUACACGAGUGGCGAACGGGUGAGUAACACGUGGGUGAUCUGCCCUGCACUUCGGGAUAAGCCUGGGAAACUGGGUCUAAUACCGGAUAGGACCACUGCCUGCAUGGGUGUGGUGGAAAGCUUUUGCGGUGUGGGAUGGGCCCGCGGCCUAUCAGCUUGUUGGUGGGGUGAUGGCCUACCAAGGCGACGACGGGUAGCCGGCCUGAGAGGGUGACCGGCCACACUCGGACUGAGCUACGGCCCAGACUCCUACGGGAGGCAGCGGUGGGGAAUAUUGCACAAUGGGCGCAAGCCUGAUGCAGCGACGCCGCGUGAGGGAUGACGGCCUUCGGGUUGUAAACCUCUUUCAGCACCGACGAAGCGCAAGUGACGGUAGGUGCAGAAGAAGGACCGGCCAACUACGUGCCAGCAGCCGCCGUAA
This 477-nucleotide ribosomal RNA is filed under the name uncultured bacterium. RNAcentral describes it as "partial 16S ribosomal RNA". It matches the Rfam family "Bacterial small subunit ribosomal RNA", at positions 28 to 523 of the family's 1533-position model. The record is from RNAcentral.